AUCGCUUCUUGGCCUUCUGGCUAAGAUCAAGUGUAGUAUCUGUUGUUAUCAGUUUAAUAUUUGCUAUGUCCUGUAUCUGAGGACAGUAUAUUAACUGUAUUUUUGGAACAGGGAGAUGGAAUAGGAGCUUGCUCCAUCCACUCCACACAUUGACCCAGUAUUGCAGUACCUCUGGGAAUGUGCAAAAACA
Small nuclear RNA from Molossus molossus (Pallas's mastiff bat), 190 nucleotides. RefSeq annotates it as U2 spliceosomal RNA. The record is from RefSeq and is a predicted model, not a curated record. Lineage: Eukaryota; Metazoa; Chordata; Mammalia; Chiroptera; Molossidae. The transcript has a single exon.